Molecule: transfer RNA, 76 nt
Filed under: bacterium
Lineage: Bacteria
Also listed under: 8 other names
Description: tRNA-Ala
Rfam family: tRNA
About the family: Transfer RNA (tRNA) molecules are approximately 80 nucleotides in length. Their secondary structure includes four short double-helical elements and three loops (D, anti-codon, and T loops).
Source: RNAcentral
GGGGCAUUAGCUCAGCUGGGAGAGCGCGUGGUUCGCAAUCACGAGGUCAGGGGUUCGAUCCCCCUAUGCUCCACCA